RNAcentral lists this ribosomal RNA (497 nucleotides) under uncultured bacterium. Its description in RNAcentral is "partial 16S ribosomal RNA". It matches the Rfam family "Bacterial small subunit ribosomal RNA", at positions 28 to 507 of the family's 1533-position model. The record is from RNAcentral.
GAUGAACGCUGGCGGCGUGCCUAAUACAUGCAAGUCGAGCGAACAGACGAGGAGCUUGCUCCUUUGACGUUAGCGGCGGACGGGUGAGUAACACGUGGGUAACCUACCUAUAAGACUGGGAUAACUUCGGGAAACCGGAGCUAAUACCGGAUAAUAUUUCGAACCGCAUGGUUCGAUAGUGAAAGAUGGCUUUGCUAUCACUUAUAGAUGGACCUGCGCCGUAUUAGCUAGUUGGUAAGGUAACGGCUUACCAAGGCAACGAUACGUAGCCGACCUGAGAGGGUGAUCGGCCACACUGGAACUGAGGCACGGUCCAGACUCCUACGGGAGGCAGCAGUAGGGAAUCUUCCGCAAUGGGCGAAAGCCUGACGGAGCAACGCCGCGUGAGUGAUGAAGGUCUUCGGAUCGUAAAACUCUGUUAUUAGGGAAGAACAAACGUGUAAGUAACUGUGCACGUCUUGACGGUACCUAAUCAGAAAGCCACGGCUAACUACGUG